AUCUGCUCUCUGAGGUCCACUUGGGACCCAUGCUCUGCAAUUUCCAGAAACGGCCUCUUCUUGAGACUGUCAGGAGACAACUUGGCAUGAUAGAAGAUGGGCAUUUAAGAACUCAACCUGAAUUCAUACCACUGACUUAAAACUUGCUACCUGGGUGACCUUGGGAAAAUUUCUUGUCAACUCUGGCUAGAACUUGCAUGGCAGGAGACUUGCUCCGCGAGGGCUCUGUCUGCUCUUCUUGCUGCUGGCACAAAGUAUUUGGUGAAGGAAUGAAUGAAUGACCAAGUGAAUGGAGCAGAAGGAAGAGGCAAUGUCCCUUCUCAGUCAGUCUGGGGACAGAAAGUGUGGAAUCGCGGUUGGAAGUGGGAAGCACAGCAAGGAUCCAUGUCUCCAGCUUCGCCCCGCCCAGGACAUCCACAUGGCACUGUUUUCUCGGUGGAAAAACCCUGGACCAGAGUCAAGACUGAGAAAUUCACCUCCUCUUCAAGCACAGUGCACAGAAUAUCCUGGAAAGCAUGGACUUUGGAUCAGACAAUCAUGAGUUCACAUUCUGGCUCUACGGUCUUCCAGCUAUGCCUCAGUUUCAUCAUCUAUCAAAUGGGGGCAAUUAGACCCGCUCCAUUGAGCCUUUCCCGCUUCAGCGAGGAGGGUGUGCACACAGUGAGCUCAGCUCAGAUGGCUCAAGGGCCUUUACAUCCUCCGUCUCUCAGUCUCCAGUUAGCAUGAAAGCACUGAGCAAUGGGAGAUUUGUCAUUUGUUUAUCCUUUCUCCCUGUAUAGAACUUCCUUUAAAUCUCUCAGAUGAAGCACAAGUCAAGAGCAUAGGAGCAAGUCAUUAAAGAGCAUUACAAGUUGAAUCAUGUCCUGCCCACAGAAGACACCUUGAGGUCCUACCCCUUGGUGACUUCACUGUGACCUUUUGUAGAAGUAGGGCAUGUGCAGAUGUAAUUGAGUUAGCUUGAAGGUGGCAGAGGAGAUGGGGCUCUUGUUGCAGUCCUGAAGAACCUGCCUGUUCUCAGAGUGGAGAGGAAAGCAGCCGGAAGCCCGGGCUCAGGCCAGAAGAGGCAGGUGCAGCAGGACACGGUCACCCAAAACAGGCUGGGCUCUGAGACAUCAGGAAUGGGGCCUGGGCCAGAUGUGCAUAAAGGGAGCUGUGCUUUGAGCUUGAUUUUUGUGGGAUGGGGUUGUACCAUCUCACUCCCCUGCCUACAAACCUAUGGGCUGAGAAUCCUCACACCCACUUCACAGAUAAGGAAACUGAGGCCCAGAAAGGCCCAUCUCUCUGUCAAAGGCACACUGCUGGGGAAGAGCAUACUGGGCUGGGAGUCCCUCUCCCUGAUCCGCUCCUAGAAGACACUGGCUUCCUGGAUGUUCCCACAAACCCCAGUUCCAGGUGUGUUAAUAAAGGUGACAAUGUGCUACAGUCUCGGUCACAACUGAACAAAGACAAGAUGGAGCUGGAGUUUCUGGGAUAAGUACUGGGGGGUGAGACCAGAGUGAGCUGUCACAGCGUCCUUUGUGACAGGGGCUACCCUCGGAGGUGGUAACCUCAGGAAGACCAGCUGCUUGACCUCUUCCUGCC
Molecule: long non-coding RNA, 1581 nt
Organism: Heterocephalus glaber (naked mole-rat)
Lineage: Eukaryota; Metazoa; Chordata; Mammalia; Rodentia; Bathyergidae
Source: Ensembl